GACUCGGUAGCUCAGUUGGAUAGAGCGGCUGCCUCCUAAGCAGCAGGUCGCAGGUUCGAUUCCUGUCCGGGUCA
Molecule: transfer RNA, 74 nt
Filed under: Spirochaetaceae bacterium
Lineage: Bacteria; Pseudomonadati; Spirochaetota; Spirochaetia; Spirochaetales; Spirochaetaceae
Also listed under: 4 other names
Description: tRNA-Arg
Rfam family: tRNA
About the family: Transfer RNA (tRNA) molecules are approximately 80 nucleotides in length. Their secondary structure includes four short double-helical elements and three loops (D, anti-codon, and T loops). Further hydrogen bonds mediate the characteristic L-shaped molecular structure. tRNAs have two regions of fundamental functional importance: the anti-codon, which is responsible for specific mRNA codon recognition, and the 3' end, to which the tRNAs corresponding amino acid is attached (by aminoacyl-tRNA synthetases). tRNAs cope with the degeneracy of the genetic code in two manners: having more than one tRNA (with a specific anti-codon) for a particular amino acid; and 'wobble' base-pairing, i.e. permitting non-standard base-pairing at the 3rd anti-codon position.
Source: RNAcentral